GGCUCUGUGGUGAAGUUCAUGUUGAGUUGCAAGCUCAUCGAUGUGUAUUGGUCAUACACCGGAGUCU
This 67-nucleotide transfer RNA is filed under the name Lichenostomus cassidix (helmeted honeyeater). RNAcentral describes it as "tRNA-Cys". The record is from RNAcentral. Lineage: Eukaryota; Metazoa; Chordata; Aves; Passeriformes; Meliphagidae.